Schizosaccharomyces pombe (fission yeast) is the source of this 342-nucleotide non-coding RNA. NCBI's taxonomy places the organism in Eukaryota, Fungi, Ascomycota, Schizosaccharomycetes, Schizosaccharomycetales, Schizosaccharomycetaceae. The record is from the annotation of a GenBank genome assembly.
UUUUCGAAGAACCAAACAACCAGAAACAUAUACUCAAUGUAGUCACGCUUACCAAAGCGCACAAGGAUACAGCAAGUAAAUAAUUUAAGGCGUAAGAUUGUCAAUUUGUGAAAUUGUGAGUUGAAUAUUUGAGCGGAUUUUCUCCAAUUCUUGAAGGGGCAUCAGAGCACUAGGUUCAGGAUCCAUUUUUUCGCAAGAUUCAAAAAGGCGUUUUGAUUCACGAUCUAGCGCAGAUAUCAUAGUAGGUAAUCGGGGAAGGACCUCUGAAACUUGAUUGAUUUGUUGGUUCAAAACUCUCAGAGAGUCAUUAAGUGUUUUAUCAAACUCAGACAAAAGGUGCUG